AAGCUGGUUUCUCUGCGCCAGAGCUGCUUCUAAAGCUUCCUAGGGUGUCGCCCUCUGGCGGCAAGACUUCUGCAGCCGAUGCAUGCAGACCCUCCGCUGACGAGUCAAGGUCACUCAACGCACUCCUGACGCCUUCCGCAAGCAUACUGGAGGCGAUUUCUUGCGGACCCACGUUUGGCUGCUCCUGCUCAAAGCCAGCAUUAACUUCGACGUCCUUUUUUGCAAGCUCUGUGUUUCGUAAACUGGAACAACACGUGGGGUGUUUGUCUCCCCUAUGAGGGUCACUGUGGCUUGGACGUUUUUCAGGGAAAGUGUCCGCGCAGCGGUUAGACAUUUCUUCACUUUGAUCAAACGACUGCGGGGGCUGAGGGGAGACUCGUGGGUUCAAAUCUAUGCUUAUUGCCGAACCGGAAAUAAUCGUGUGCGGACGCGACGUCUGGCUCUCAGCAUGGGACACGCUGCAGACGAUUGGCCUUUCCUUUGCCUGUGAGAGACGAACCUUUUCACCGGUACUGUCCCUGGUGUAUGUAUAACGUAAAGACUGUUUUAGCAUCUGUAGACUUUUCCCUGUAUUCGAAAUGGAUCUUGUCGAUCUUGACGAGUUCCUCGAUGGUGUGCUUGGCUUCCGCGGCAUGGUAGCCACAUCUGGCCGGGAACACCCACGGAGUUCUCUAGGUUCCAUCCCUCCUUCUGGAAUAAGCCUGUUUUGGUAGGAGUGGUUUCCCUCCUCCUGAACAUUCUUCUGCGCUUGCCGUGUCGACUGCACGCCAGCCAGAUCACCCGAAAGGUUUUGCCGGCAGUACUGCCCCGAGAAUCCCCGCGAAAGUGUUCUGCCUUCCCGAUUUAGUGUCUGCGGCCUUAGUGAGCCGUGGCGCAGGUUACCCUGCACACCAUGCAUUCGAACGGUAGACGAGGAG
RNAcentral lists this long non-coding RNA (917 nucleotides) under Toxoplasma gondii VEG. The record is from RNAcentral. Lineage: Eukaryota; Apicomplexa; Conoidasida; Eucoccidiorida; Sarcocystidae.